RNAcentral lists this ribosomal RNA (372 nucleotides) under Triticum aestivum (bread wheat). RNAcentral describes it as "partial small subunit ribosomal RNA". The record is from RNAcentral. Lineage: Eukaryota; Viridiplantae; Streptophyta; Magnoliopsida; Poales; Poaceae.
AUGACUUAUAUUAUAAGUCUAACAAUGGGCACCAUCGAGAGAGGAGGCCAGCGCAGUGAUGUGGUGCUCGCCGCGGCAUGGAUCGGAAAGCGCGAUCAUGUCCGGGCGCCAAGCAAGCAGGAUACCCCCACAGGUCCCAUCCGCGGGAAGGAAGAAAAACUCAGAGAAGGACGAGCCGAGCGUCUCAGUGACAAGCGAGGACGAGAGAGAAACCAUCUUAGUCUCUUGGAUGCAAACAAUACAAGGCGAGGCAGCGGUGAUCACGCUGCGAACGGCGGUGCGCUUGGCCGGGGCAUUAAGGUCACGCACGUUCCAGAAUACAAUGCGAAGGUUGUGAUCCAUGGAGAAAGGUGGAGUCCCGCGGUGGCCUAG